UUCAGUUGAAUGAAGACCGUACCGUAAACCGACACAGGUGGGUAGGAUGAGAAUUCUAAGGCGCUUGAGAGAGCUCAGGAGAAGGAACUCGGCAAAAUAGCACCGUAACUUCGGGAAAAGGUGUGCCCUUUGUAUGUGUAGCGCCUCGCGCGUGAAGCAGAAAAGGGUUGCAAUGAAAUGGUGGCUGCGACUGUUUAAUAAAAACAUAGCACUCUGCAAACACGAAAGUGGACGUAUAGAGUGUGACGCCUGCCCGGUGCCGGAAGGUUAAAUGAUGGGGUGCAAGCUCUUGAUUGAAGCCCCGGUAAACGGCGGCCGUAACAAUAACGGUCCUAAGGUAGCGAAAUUCCUUGUCGGGUAAGUUCCGACCUGCACGAAUGGCGUAACGAUGGCCACACUGUCUCCUCCUGGGACUCAGCGAAGUUGAAAUGUUUGUGAAGAUGCAAUCUCCCCGCGGCUAGACGGAAAGACCCCGUGCACCUUUACUGUAGCUUUACAUUGGACUUUGAUAACAUUUGUGUAGGAUAGGUGGGAGGCUUUGAAGUGGAUUCGCUAGAAUUCAUGGAGCCAACGUUGAAAUACCACCCUGAUGUUGUUGAGGUUCUAACCUAGAUCCAUUAUCUGGAUUGGGGACCGUGUAUGGUAGGCAGUUUGACUGGGGCGGUCUCCUCCCAAAUUGUAACGGAGGAGUACGAAGGUACGCUAGGUACGGUCGGAAAUCGUGCUGAUAGUGCAAUGGCAAAAGCGUGCUUAACUGCGAGACCGACAAGUCGAGCAGAUGCGAAAGCAGGUCAUAGUGAUCCGGUGGUUCUGUAUGGAAGGGCCAUCGCUCAACGGAUAAAAGGUACGCCGGGGAUAACAGGCUGAUUCCUCCCAAGAGUUCAUAUCGACGGGGGAGUUUGGCACCUCGAUGUCGGCUCAUCACAUCCUGGGGCUGUAGCCGGUCCCAAGGGUAUGGCUGUUCGCCAUUUAAAGUGGUACGUGAGCUGGGUUUAAAACGUCGUGAGACAGUUUGGUCCCUAUCUGCCGUGGGCGUUGGAAGUUUGAGUGGACCUGCUCCUAGUACGAGAGGACCGGAGUGGACGCACCUCUGGUGUACCGGUUAUGACGCCAGUCGUAUCGCCGGGUAGCUAUGUGCGGAAGAGAUAACCGCUGAAAGCAUCUAAGCGGAAAACUCUCCUCAAGAUGAGACUUCCCGAGGGUUUAACCCUCCUAAAGGUUCGUCGAAGACUACGACGUUGAUAGGUCGGGUGUGGAAGCAUAGUGAUAUGCUAAGCUAACCGAUACUAAUUGACCGUGAGGCUUGAUCCG
This 1311-nucleotide ribosomal RNA is filed under the name metagenome. RNAcentral describes it as "bacterial LSU rRNA". It matches the Rfam family "Bacterial large subunit ribosomal RNA", at positions 1626 to 2925 of the family's 2925-position model. The record is from RNAcentral.